CCCGGCAGCGGCCGGUCCGGGCAGGACGGGAAGGGAACGGGGAAAGCCUGUGGAAGUACAGGCACUCCUGACGCAUUUCGCAGCCAGGGCCAUCGGGAACUCCGCGGCUGUCGCCAAGAGCUCGCUCCCAUUAAACCGGAAGCAGCAAGCCAGGAAGCUUAUCAUCUGGGCACAAAUGUCACAGCUACGGAGCUAAAACAGCAGCAGCAAUGUGAGCACUGACAGCCAUUUACCAAACAGAUGACUAACCAUGGGGAAAUGCAAUCUCAUCAGCCAUUGCUACACGAGAGCUUUGAUCAUGACAAACUGAAUCCAGUUGGAUCAGCAGAAAGAAAUAAGUCAUUAAUGAAUUUAAAUCUUGAGGAAAUUCUUCUGGCUUCAAAGCAGGAAAUUAUGAAAGCACUCCAACUCCUGUGGUGGACUGGCUGUAACCAGCCACUGAGAAGAAAGGUCAGACUUACACUGACUUACCUCCUGGGGGAAAAAAGGUGAAAUAAGAAAAUAUAAAACCUGCUCAAGUUGCUGGAGAGGGUCAGCUUGAUUCCAUUUUCUGUGUAUGUGCUCUCCAGUGACCUGGCAUGACCCUUCUCACUGAAAUGGAUCGGGACACUUGGAUGGAGACUCUGUCCAUUGUUAUUCUAUUCCCUGAAAACUUAUUCUGCCAGACUUCAGAUGAACCUCAAACAAGUUGGGAUCUCUGUUACCAGUAACUGUACCACAUCAGAGGAGUCGCAAUAUCCUUUUUUACUCCAGUAAAGACCAACUUCAGCCGAAGGUUGACAAAUACCCGUAUUGGGCAAUUUCCUCACUGCAUCACCAUGUCAUGAAUUACCAAAUAAAAUUUCUAUACUGGGAACGAGACCUUUCUGCAGGUUUGAGGCAGACGCCCUCAGGGGGCAAGGCGCCGUUUGCUCGGGGAAAGGGAAGGAGGGCUGGCCGGGACGGCGGGGCCGUCAGUGCCACCAGCACCGCGCCCCUGUCCUGUGGCUGCCCGCUGAAAUGAGAAGGAGCCUCUUGCGGGGCCACAGAGGUGUCUGAGGGCUUUUACCCCGGCGGGGCUGGCGAGAAGAGCGCUGGGGCUGGGUCAGCGAGGUCCGACACCCUCAGAGCCUGGCGGGGGCGGCUGUGCCCUCACGCCCUCGCCUCGACGCCGCGCGGGGCUGAGGGCUGAGGGGGCGAGGGGAGGGAGCGCGGCCCUUCAAGGGAGCCCUUCAGCCUUCCGCGGGCCGCCGGAGCCGGGACACGCCAAGCAAUGUCUGGAAAAUAUGUCCUGUGGAAAGUGGCCGAGGGAGCUGGGUUUGUUUAGCCCCGAUGAGGCUCCGGGUGGACCUCAUCACUCUCUACAACUGCCUGAAAGGAGGCUGUAGUUGGCUGGGGCCGGUCUCUUCGCUGUGCUCGGAGUGAGGGGACCAGAGGAAAUGGCUUUAAGCUGAGACGGCGGCUGUUCGGGUUCGUCAGGCAAUGGAAUAUGUUGCCCAGGCCGGUGGUGGCGGGACUACCUCUGGUGGUGUAUAAGAGGAAGAGGCGUCUGGAUGUGGUGCUGGUUCAUGUGGUUUAGAGGUGAUUCUGAUGGUGCUGGAUUGACGGUUCGACGGGAUGCUAUUAAAGAUCUCUUCCAACCUCGCUGAUUUCACGAUCCCAUGCCUCUAUGAUUCUCCGACUCCGCGACUGUCUUCUGCGAUUCCAUUCUCCACCUCGCGGCGCGGGGCGGGACCCACCGGGGCUGUCACGGAAAGGGAGGGAAGGGCCGCGGGCGCCCCGCCCGUCAGCUGUCGCUGCCCGGGCCCCGAUUGGCGCCGCGCGGCGCCGCCCGGCCCCCGCUAUAAGGCGGAGGCGCGGGCGGGGAAGGAGCUGCCGCGGCCGCGGCGAGGCUGGGGAAGAGCGAGAAGGAAGACUUGCCAGACAAGAUCCAAAACCGGUGUGACCUUUGCCUUUGUAAUAAGGUGACUCAGAAAUUCUGUGCAUAGAGGACUCCUAGCCAGAGAUGCUUGGUGCAGGAGUUUGAAGAUGCAUCAAGACUGGCAGUGAGGACAGAAAAAUCUCCUGAAGAAGAGUACAGGCUGAACUCUUGGCCAUGUCCAUCACGGAUCACAGCCCCACCACCGGCGUGGUGACUGUCAUCGUUAUCCUGAUCGCCAUUGCGGCUCUGGGAGCCCUCAUUCUGGGCUGCUGGUGCUACCUGCGGCUGCAGAGGCUCAGCCAGUCUGAGGAUGAGGAAAGCAUUGUGGGUGAGGGAGAAACCAAAGAGCCCUUUCUACUGGUGCAGUACUCUGCUAAAGGACCCUGUGUGGAGAGGAAAGCUAAGCUAACUCCAAAUGGCCCGGAAGUACACAGCUAACUCAGAGCAACACCUGCAGAUGGGCUCUGCUCAUGGUGUGUAACCAGCAGAAGCAUCUCCAUACUGUGAAGAACCUGGUCACGUGCACUCUUCAGAAAACACCCUGAUGAGAAUUAAAUAAGCUUUGUUUGCAACCGCAUGCACUGAGAAGUUGCACUUUGCAUCAGUGUAUCCACUUUGUAUCCCAAUUCCUCUAUGGAAGGAGCUGACUCAUAGUGUAAUGUCCAUUGCUGGCAAUGGGCACAGGGAUAUACUGGUGUGAAGAGACUACUACUGUUUUUUGUUACUUGAAUAUUUAGCUGAGCCUAUUUUGAUGGAGCUACUACUGCAAUGUGGACUACUUUACAACUGUGAACUGUAAAUAGGCUGCCAGAAACUUCUUGCUUUGUGUUCUGUAACAUACAGGAAUAUGACACAACUGUGUAUAAUACACAGGGACUCCUGAGCCACUACCAUGGAUGGGACACCAGAGCUCCAAAACCAGAUCUGCAGUUAAAGCUUGCUUCUGCUACUACACUGAGUGUGCAGCCAGAACUCCUCCUUUGAACAGUUUAUUAGACUGAUGCAGAGAACUUCGUUUAAAAAGAAGGGAUAAACCUUCAGUAAUGCUGAAGGAGGAAACACAGGAGCAAGGAAGGAUAAGUUCCUUUAGCUGCAGCUAUGUUGUUUAAGCUUUUGGCUGCUAGAACUGAGUUCUUAUGUAGCUACUGCAAGGAAACUGCCAUUUUGAUGGGUUCCAACCUGGGAACUUAUGAUGGAUACUGAACCCUCAGGGAAAGUCCAGAUGGUUUCCAGGUGUUUGAAAUGGCAGUAGAGCAGGCUUCUGUCUUCCACAGGUCUGUGUGCUGAAACUGCAUAAGUGGUUACUUAGCAAAACAGGCUUAAGUGCAAGUAGUAUGAAUUCUUCCUAGAUCCCUGGUUUGUGUACUUAGGGUGUAUGUUAACAGCCUGUUACAAAAAGGUAUUUUGUAAUACAUACAGCCAGACAACUCUAGAAUUUCAGUUAAUGUAUCUUGUAUAUAACUUUUGAUGGAACUGUAUUACAAGAGGAGAAGUUUCAGUCUUUUCUACUGUUGACAGGGGUGUAAGGGUUAUUGCUGGUCAGUUUGUAGGAGUUUUUAGAGAGCAAUGGCCAAGUCCUUCCAGAUAACACAUUUCCUGCCCUGUGCUGGAGAUCAGCUGUAGGACUGGUAAAAAGAUUUUAAAUGGGAAGGUCUGAACUGCAAAGGUUUGGGGAGAGGAGAAGGAACAACACUGAGCAGCCAAUGGCAGCUUAUGUAUUCUAAUUCUUUGUGUAGGCACACAUGCUUAGAGGUUACUGGCCUGUUUUCUAUUACUUUUUACAUGAACUCCUUUGCUUAUUGAUGUUUUUAAACACUUAAUUGCCUAGCCUUAAUUCAGCUCCAGAGGAAGCAUUAUACUUGCUUCUUGUACUUACACUUAUGGAAUAACUUAAGGCCUAGCAAGCUUGCUUGAGAAUUUUAACAAUAUGCAAGACAAGAAUGGCCUAGAAAAACUGUCCCCUUCUUCUACACUAAGAUGUUGAAUUGCUUUGUUAGUGCUACAUUUGCCUUUUUAAAAUUGAAAGUUGUAAUGUGAAGCAAAAAAAUGCUGUUAGUAGUAAAAAGCUCCUGCUGUUGCCUCUUGAGUACAACAUUUUGGGUACAGCUGAUAAUGUUCUUACCCUGACACAUGCUUUUUAAAAUACUGCUCUCAAGAGACCUGCAUGUAUUGUCAGACCUGUACACUUAAAUAGCUGUAUUUGAGACCUCUUAAAAGCAAAGAAAAACAGGAUUAAUUCAGUAAGACUUCCUGGAGUUUUCAAUAGAGAACAGUUCACACAUGGCUCUUGCGGUAUCCAGUCAGAAUACCAGGAUACAAAAGUGAUACAAAGUGCUGAAGUUUGAGAACAGAACAGUUGUAACAAGAUGACUUUGUCCAUUCAAGUUUACUGAUUACACAAGUGAAGUAUCUAUUUUAAUUCAGCAAAGAGAAUGCAGUGUAAAGGGCAAAUUUCAGAAAUUAUGGAAAAGUAUAAAUCAAAGGUCUGAUUUCCCUUCUAGCAGCUUAAGAGAAAGCCAGUGAAAACUAACUGGUCUUUAGUCAGAGGUGCUGCAAACUGCUGCCCCUACAAACCAGUAUCUUUCAUUUAAAUGGGUAGGUGUUUGCAAGUUAGUGCAAUAGUAAAGUGCAGAAAGUGUUUUCCAUUCUCCUCUUCUCUUAAGAUGGGGGUAUCUAAUAAGUUGUUCAAGUAUACAAAAAUAUUCCAUUUGAUUUUUCUUUUUCUAGAUCAUGUGGGGGAAGUCUUUAUUUACAUUGAAUGUCAAUAAAAUUUGCAUAAAUACCUAC
Molecule: RNA transcript, 4687 nt
Organism: Passer montanus (Eurasian tree sparrow)
Lineage: Eukaryota; Metazoa; Chordata; Aves; Passeriformes; Passeridae
Gene: SNN
Gene name: stannin
Exons: 9
Source: RefSeq, a predicted model, not a curated record